RNAcentral lists this ribosomal RNA (681 nucleotides) under uncultured Candidatus Saccharibacteria bacterium. Its description in RNAcentral is "bacterial SSU rRNA". It matches the Rfam family "Bacterial small subunit ribosomal RNA", at positions 774 to 1482 of the family's 1533-position model. The record is from RNAcentral. Lineage: Bacteria; Candidatus Saccharimonadota.
CGGAUUAGAUACCCNGGGUAGUCCACGCCGUAAACGAUGGAUACUAGCUGUNGGAGGGUAUCGACCCCUUCAGUAGCGAAGCUAACGCGUUAAGUAUCCCGCCUGUGGAGUACGGCCGCAAGGCUAAAACAUAAAGGAAUUGACGGGGACCCGCACAAGCGGUGGAUUAUGUUCUUUAAUUCGAUGAUAACCGAAGAACCUUACCAGGGCUUGACAUCCAGGGAAGGUCUGCGAAAGUAGACUGUGCCUUUUGGAACCCUGUGACAGGUGAUGCAUGGCCGUCGUCAGCUCGUGUCGUGAGAUGUUAGGUUAAGUCCUUCAACGAGCGCAACCCUUGUGAAUAGUUGUAUUUCUCUAUUCAGACUGCCCCGGUAACGGGGAGGAAGGAGGGGAUGAUGUCAGGUCAGUAUUUCCCUUACGUCCUGGGCUAGAAACGUAAUACAAUGGCUAGUACAAUGCGCAGCGAAGCCGCGAGGUGAAGCAAAUCGCAUCAAAGCUAGUCCCAGUUCGGAUUGCAGGCUGAAACUCGCCUGCAUGAAGUCGGAAUCGCUAGUAAUCGCAAAUCAGCAAGUUGCGGUGAAUACGUUCCCGGGUCUUGUACACACCGCCCGUCAAACCAUGAAAGUGACCAACACCCGAAGUCCGAUUCGUCGGCCUAAGGUGGGGGGCAUGAUUGGGGUU